AAUUCCCUUGGUGACGUCAUACUGGGUGUAUGGUGGUCACAUUGAUAUUUCUUGAGGUUGGUACUGAACACCGGCCGCUAGCUGUCACGAAGCCGGAACGGUGAAGAGGGAAGCAUUGGUCUUGGGAGUGUCAAUAAGAAUGGCGGCGUGAGUUUUCUAAUUAUAUAAUUAAAAUAAGUUAUUUCCAGUUGCAUAGUUCCAUUAUUGUUGUUGCAAGUUAUAGAAAGUUGAGUGAAUUAAAGUGACGGAAUAAUGAAACUGUAAGAAAAAGGAUCUCACACCGCCAUUCGGGAGAAAUCUAUUAUUACCGCUGGUAAACCCUCUCUAACAAUGAGAGCAGACACUUCCAAGAUUCAGUCAACCAGGGAACAAGUCUAAGGAUACAGUCCCAUUUGUUUUGUUUUGGUUCAUCAUCCUGCACCCUCCGAGGGACAGGUUCAUUAGCUAUUGGGCAGUUGCACCACUUCGGUGUUAACUUCGUACCACGGAUUUGGUACCACACACCAAGGAUCAGUGUUGGAACGCGUGAAAAGGGGUUUGUUUUGGGGGACAAUUAUUCAUACUAGUUAAAGACUUAUACUGUUUUUUUUUUUUGUAAUAUUCAGGACAUUUAAGUUAGAUACACAUAAGGUCAUAAUUUAAUUACACAUAAAUAUUUUUUCUUUCUCUACAAAUUUAAGUACAUUUUAGUUAUAAUAACCAUACCUAACAGUUAGUACUGUUCCCCCAAAUUUAUAUAAUUCUUGGUAGAAGUUUCGAGCUCGAAGAUUCUCCCCAUACAUGUUCUUUCCCCUUGGUUCGUAUUAAUUUUAGACUUGUUUUCUCAGUUAAUUUAAAAAUAAUAUUAGUUCAAUUCACCUAAAUUUAAAAUCAUUCAACUUGUUUCAUAAUUUUUCAAUUUGUAUUAGAUUUUUGUAAAUAUUAUUUAACGUUAACUAUUAAUUUUUUUAUAUUAUAUUUGAAUAAAUCCCUAGUACCCAUCCCCUCAGGAAGGUACUAGUUUUACUUGCGAUUAUUAUUUAGAACCACUAGUCAGAAAAGGAUCUUUUGUAUCCAGUACUAAGUUGGUUCAUUUAGGGACUUGUUACCCGUCAACACAUUGAGAGUUGUAAAAUAUAUAUUAUUUACAUUAGGUAUUUUCCUUAUUCUAUUAUCAGGUA
Molecule: long non-coding RNA, 1160 nt
Organism: Diabrotica virgifera virgifera (western corn rootworm)
Lineage: Eukaryota; Metazoa; Arthropoda; Insecta; Coleoptera; Chrysomelidae
Exons: 2
Source: RefSeq, a predicted model, not a curated record